GAUGAACGCUGGUGGCGUGCCUAAUACAUGCAAGUCGAGCGAACGGACGAGAAGCUUGCUUCUCUGAUGUUAGCGGCGGACGGGUGAGUAACACGUGGAUAACCUACCUAUAAGACUGGGAUAACUUCGGGAAACCGGAGCUAAUACCGGAUAAUAUUUUGAGCCGCAUGGUUCAAAAGUGAAAGACGGUCUUGCUGUCACUUAUAGAUGGAUCCGCGCUGCAUUAGCUAGUUGGUAAGGUAACGGCUUACCAAGGCAACGAUGCAUAGCCGACCUGAGAGGGUGAUCGGCCACACUGGAACUGAGACACGGUCCAGACUCCUACGGGAGGCAGCAGUAGGGAAUCUUCCGCAAUGGGCGAAAGCCUGACGGAGCAACGCCGCGUGAGUGAUGAAGGUCUUCGGAUCGUAAAACUCUGUUAUUAGGGAAGAACAUAUGUGUAAGUAACUGUGCACAUCUUGACGGUACCUAAUCAGAAAGCCACGGCUAACUACGUG
This 497-nucleotide ribosomal RNA is filed under the name uncultured bacterium. RNAcentral describes it as "partial 16S ribosomal RNA". It matches the Rfam family "Bacterial small subunit ribosomal RNA", at positions 28 to 507 of the family's 1533-position model. The record is from RNAcentral.